This 292-nucleotide ribosomal RNA is filed under the name uncultured microorganism. RNAcentral describes it as "partial 16S ribosomal RNA". It matches the Rfam family "Bacterial small subunit ribosomal RNA", at positions 505 to 796 of the family's 1533-position model. The record is from RNAcentral.
GUGCCAGCAGCCGCGGUAAUACGUAGGGUACAAGCGUUGUCCGGAAUUAUUGGGCGUAAAGAGCUCGUAGGUGGUUGGUCACGUCUGCUGUGGAAACGCAACGCUUAACGUUGCGCGUGCAGUGGGUACGGGCUGACUAGAGUGCAGUAGGGGAGUCUGGAAUUCCUGGUGUAGCGGUGAAAUGCGCAGAUAUCAGGAGGAACACCGGUGGCGAAGGCGGGACUCUGGGCUGUAACUGACGCUGAGGAGCGAAAGCAUGGGGAGCGAACAGGAUUAGAUACCCUGGUAGUCC